GGGCACAUGGUGUAGUUGGUUAUCACAUCCGCUUAGCAUGAGUUACCGGGCAUGCGUUUGCGGGGGGUGCUGGGUUCAAUUCCCAGUGUGUCCA
Molecule: non-coding RNA, 94 nt
Organism: Dendrothele bispora CBS 962.96
Lineage: Eukaryota; Fungi; Basidiomycota; Agaricomycetes; Agaricales
Source: the annotation of a GenBank genome assembly